Non-coding RNA from Bacillus solimangrovi, 266 nucleotides. It matches the Rfam family "Bacterial large signal recognition particle RNA". From Rfam's summary of the family: The signal recognition particle (SRP) is a universally conserved ribonucleoprotein involved in the co-translational targeting of proteins to membranes. Archaeal SRP consists of a 7S RNA and homologues of the eukaryotic SRP19 and SRP54 proteins. In most bacteria, the SRP consists of a 4.5S RNA and the Ffh protein (a homologue of the eukaryotic SRP54 protein). The record is from Rfam. Lineage: Bacteria; Bacillati; Bacillota; Bacilli; Caryophanales; Bacillaceae.
CCGUGCUAGGUGGGGAAUUAGCGGUGCCCUGUACCCGCAAUCCGCUAUAGCGGGACUGAAUCCCUUCCUGAGGUAGAUUUGCUUUAAGGUCUGACUUAAGUAAGUGGUGUUGACGCUUGGGUCCUGCGCAACAGGAACCCGUGAACCCUGUCAGGUCCGGAAGGAAGCAGCAGUAAGCGGACACUUCUGUGUGCCGCGGGGUUGCCUGAGCCGAGCUAACUGCUUAAGUAACGCUUAGGGCAGUCUUAUCGACGGAAGGUGCACGG